Molecule: ribosomal RNA, 474 nt
Filed under: Nothobranchius kirki (redfin notho)
Lineage: Eukaryota; Metazoa; Chordata; Actinopteri; Cyprinodontiformes; Nothobranchiidae
Description: partial 16S ribosomal RNA
Rfam family: Bacterial large subunit ribosomal RNA
Source: RNAcentral
UUUAACGGCCGCGGUAUUCUGACCGUGCAAAGGUAGCGCAAUCACUUGUCUUUUAAAUUAAGACCUGUAUGAAUGGCAUAACGAGGGCUUAACUGUCUCCUUUUUCCUAUCAAUGAAAUUGAUCUCCUCGUGCAGAAGCGGGGAUAAGAACAUAAGACGAGAAGACCCUGUGGAUCUUUAGCCACAAGAAUAGGCCAUGUUUCAAUCACUUAACAUAAUAAGUAGACCAAGUGAAAUCUGUUCAAGUGUCUUUGGUUGGGGCGACCCCGGAGCAAAAUAUAACCUCCAUGAGGAAUGAGAACACUUCCUCCAAUCUUAGAGCGACAUCUCAAAGAAGUAGAAACUCUAGCCACAACGAUCCGGUAAAACCGAUCAACGAACCGAGUUACCCCAGGGAUAACAGCGCAAUCCUCUUCCAGAGCCCCUAUCGACAAGAGGGUUUACGACCUCGAUGUUGGAUCAGGACAUCCUAAU